GGAUUAAGCGGAUACUUUUAAGUGAAAGUAUUUGAUGGCAUACAUGCCCAAAGCAUUCGUUUAAUAUCAUUAUCUCAUUUCUGACCUAGGUGGCGUUUAGUGGGUUUUGCAUCUGAGCCCUUCUUUUAUUUACUAAUUUAACAUUUUUCAUGCAGUCAGUUCCAUUUAGUAAGUAAAUUGUUAAAAGUGGCAUGACACGGCAAAGGGAUCAAAUAUCAGAAGAAAUAAGUGUUCAUUAAUUAUGGUAUAAGCAUGGACCAUUGAGUUAUUGAACAUUUGCAAAGCUUGGGUGUGUAUUACCAUUGACUAGACCAGGAGGUUCUUUCACAGUUAUUAUUUUUAAUGGUUAAGGCACAACUCACUGAUUCACAGAUCCCACCCAUGUAUUAUUAUUAUAAGUCAUUGCAUAAAUGAUGGCCGAAUAUUAGGUUACAAUUAUGGACAACAGAAAAAGUGAUAGUUAAAUGCUCUUUAAUGACCCCUUUUUUGAUGUUGUAUGAUGAAAGAUAAUAUAGACCAACAUUUUUUUCAUUUGUUGUAAAAUUAUAAAAAAUUAUCUGUAAGUAUAUACAUAAAUUCACAAGCACCCGUUUAAAUCUAGAACAUGUUCAAACUGCUGUCUUCAAUUAUUUCAGCGCCUGCCUCUACAUUUCCUCACUUGACAAAUAUAUUAAAAUGUUUGGGAGAUACUCAAAGUGAAAAGCACAUAGCCCUGUGACGGUGGCAGACUUUAUUGCAUUACUAUACUAAGAGAGAAAUCGGUCCUCCGUAUAGUUAAAAAUUUAGACAGUAACAUUUGAAAGUAAAGUAUUUAGAUAACUGUUGUACUACUGAAUGGUGCAGUUUUAAUUCAUAUAUCAUUUGUUUUUCUCUGGACCAUGUUUUUUUUAUCCCCAGUUGCCUUUUAUCAAUUUCAUGAUCUGAAGUUCUGCUUCUGUUUUACAUUUGAGAGUUUUGACACAUACAGUAUCGCCAUCAGAAAUAUAUUUUGACAAUCUGGCAUGGGGAGUACAAACUCUCAGUACAAGUGACAUUAUCAUUGGUUUUGUUACAAAAAGCAAAAAAAAAAUUGUACAACAGUUACUAAAACAUUGCUUUUCUGUACUCAGUUCCUGGUGGCCCAAGUAGUACUUCAAAAUGGACUUUGAAGGAUGCUGAAGGUCCCUCAUGCCGAUAUGGAGUUUAUCUCCAUUUCUUUUGUUUUGUCCAGUUUCAGGUUACUGUAGGUCCUUAUCACUGACUUCUGCUGUUAAAAGCACAUGACUUCUGCCACAGUGCCAGUAAAGAGACUAGGCCAUCCAAAACAACCACUGCAGGACUGUUGUGAUGGCCUGAAAGGACCGCAGGAAAUUUGAACAUUGUGGAUGAUAAGAUAACAUUAAGUUCUGGAUUUUAUUUGGCCAGCAGCUCUUUCUUUUCUCGAUCCGUUUGUAGUGUAUUUAGUUGCAGCCCAUUAUUCACAUUUCUUGAACUUUACCGAACCGAUUUUCUCGAGCAGAGCUGAAUAUUCUGACCAAUCAGGGAAAUGAACCACCUACAUAUGCUCAGAACAGCAGCCUGUUUCAAUGCUGUCUUAAGAGAAGUGCCUUGUGUAUUCAAUUUUAUAAGAACAAGUUGAUGUAAAUGUUCAUUUACCUCAAAUGUUUACAAAGCUGUUACUAAAUAAACUUUUUGUACCAUAAA
Non-coding RNA from Misgurnus anguillicaudatus (oriental weatherfish), 1683 nucleotides. NCBI's taxonomy places the organism in Eukaryota, Metazoa, Chordata, Actinopteri, Cypriniformes, Cobitidae. The record is from RefSeq and is a predicted model, not a curated record.